This 487-nucleotide ribosomal RNA is filed under the name uncultured Lachnospiraceae bacterium. RNAcentral's name for it is "bacterial SSU rRNA". It matches the Rfam family "Bacterial small subunit ribosomal RNA", at positions 8 to 507 of the family's 1533-position model. Lineage: Bacteria; Bacillati; Bacillota; Clostridia; Lachnospirales; Lachnospiraceae. The record is from RNAcentral.
AGAGUUUGAUCCUGGCUCAGGAUGAACGCUGGCGGCGUGCUUAACACAUGCAAGUCGAACGGGGGCAGGAGGAAACCUAGUGAAUCCUGCCCUAGUGGCGGACGGGUGAGUAACGCGUGGGCAACCUGCCGCAUACCGGGGGAUAACACUUAGAAAUAGGUGCUAAUACCGCAUAAGCGCACAGAGCCGCAUGGCUUGGUGUGAAAAACUCCGGUGGUAUGCGAUGGGCCCGCGUCUGAUUAGCUUGUUGGCGGGGCAGCGGCCCACCAAGGCGACGAUCAGUAGCCGGCCUGAGAGGGUGGACGGCCACAUUGGGACUGAGACACGGCCCAGACUCCUACGGGAGGCAGCAGUGGGGAAUAUUGCACAAUGGGGGAACCCUGAUGCAGCGACGCCGCGUGAGUGAAGAAGUAUUUCGGUAUGUAAAGCUCUAUCAGCAGGGAAGAAAAUGACGGUACCUGACUAAGAAGCCCCGGCUAACUACGUG